This 1333-nucleotide ribosomal RNA is filed under the name uncultured marine eukaryote. RNAcentral describes it as "SSU rRNA". It matches the Rfam family "Eukaryotic small subunit ribosomal RNA", at positions 408 to 1778 of the family's 1831-position model. The record is from RNAcentral.
GGCCAUAAAAGGGAGGAGCAGGCGCGCAAUUACCCACUCCUGACACAGGGAGGUAGUGACAAGGAAUAGCAAUGCAGGUGGCAAUUGCCAUUGUGCUAUUGGAAUGAGUGGACUUUAAAUCCCUUUUCGACUAUCGAUUGGAGGGCAAGUCUGGUGCCAGCAGCCGCGGUAAUUCCAGCUCCAGUAGCGUAUAUUAAAGUUGUUGCGGUUGAAAAGCUCGUAGAUGGGUUUCUGCGGAGGAAGCGCGGUCCGCACUUGGUGCGUGUAUCUGGUCUACCUACGCAUCUUCCAGUGAAACGCUACUGCGCUUUAUUGCGUGGCGCGGCAAUCUGGACUUUUACUUUGAGGAAAUUGGAGUGUUUACAGCGAGCGAUUGGUUUGAACAUAUUAGCAUGGAAUAAUAACCUAGAACCUUGGUUCUAUUUUGUUGGUUUCUAGACUAGGGUAAUGAUCAAUAGGGAUAAUUGGGGGCAUUUGUAUCAACACGUCAGAGGUGAAAUUCUUGGAUUGUGUUACGACGAACCACUGCGAAAGCAUUUGCCAAGGAUGUUUUCAUUGAUCAAGAACGAAAGUGCAGGGAUCGAAGACGAUUAGAUACCGUCGUAGUCUGCACCGUAAACUAUGCCGAUUAAAGAUUGGAGGUCGUUCUUAUUGUGGCUCCUUCAGUAAUUUAUGAGAAAUCAAAAUUCUUGGGUUCCGGGGGGAGUAUGGUCGCAAGGCUGAAACUUAAAGGAAUUGACGGAAGGGCACCACCAGGAGUGGAGCCUGCGGCUUAAUUUGACUCAACACGGGGAAACUCACCAGGUCCAGACAUAGCAAGGAUUGACAGAAUGACAGCUCUUUCUUGAUUCUGUGGGUGGUGGUGCAUGGCCGUUCUUAGUUGGUGGAGUGAUUUGUCUGGUUAAUUCCGUUAACGAACGAGAUCUUAUCCUGCUAAAUAGGAACGUGUGUCUUCGGACAUGCAGGUUGCUUCUUAGAGGGACUUUGCGAAUUGAAGCGUAGGGAAGGUUGAGGCAAUAACAGGUCUGUGAUGCCCUUAGAUGUUCUGGGCUGCACGCGCGCUACACUGAUGCGUUCAACGAGUAUGCCUUGUCCGGCAGGACUGGGGAAUCUUGUGAAAGCGCGUCGUGAUGGGGAUAGAACACUGUAAUUAUUGUUCUUCAACGAGGAAUUCCUAGUAAGCGCGAGUCAUCAGUUCGUGUUGAUUACGUCCCUGCCCUUUGUACACACCGCCCGUCGCUCCUACCGAUGGAGUGGUCCGGUGAAUAAUUCGGAUCGAGAUCUGAAGCUCACGCUUCAAUCUCGAAAAGUUUAGGAACCUUAUCACUAGGGG